UUCUGCAUGCUCCCACCCCUGGUUCGGUGUCGUCGGGGAUGGAGGAGGUUGGAACAGAGCUCGGGCCCCGACAGCCUCAACCUCCACCCAGUGCCACCGGAACCCUUCCACCUCAGGGAGGAGCUCAGCGCAUGGGAUUCCGAGGGCUGAUGCGCCGACAAUUCUCAAGAAUGCACACCCCGAGGACUACAGCUCGGAGACCAAUCAAGGGAGAAGAAAUGGCAGAGCAAUGCCAUAGAAGGAGUCAUGCCGACAAA
RNAcentral lists this long non-coding RNA (257 nucleotides) under Hordeum vulgare. RNAcentral's name for it is "long non-coding RNA (HVUL_LNC015807)". Lineage: Eukaryota; Viridiplantae; Streptophyta; Magnoliopsida; Poales; Poaceae. The record is from RNAcentral.